AUUGAACGCUGGCGGAAUGCUUUACACAUGCAAGUCGAACGGCAGCACGGGUGCUUGCACCUGGUGGCGAGUGGCGAACGGGUGAGUAAUGCACCGGAACGUAUCCAAUAAUGGGGGAUAACGCACCGAAAGGUGUGCUAAUACCGCAUACGCCCUGAGGGGGAAAGCGGGGGAUCGUAAGACCUCGCGUUAAUGGAGCGGCCGAUGCCGGAUUAGCUAGUUGGUGAGGUAAAGGCUCACCAAGGCGACGAUCCGUAGCUGGUCUGAGAGGACGACCAGCCACACUGGAACUGAGACACGGUCCAGACUCCUACGGGAGGCAGCAGUGGGGAAUUUUGGACAAUGGGCGAAAGCCUGAUCCAGCCAUGCCGCGUGC
Molecule: ribosomal RNA, 376 nt
Filed under: uncultured bacterium
Lineage: Bacteria
Description: bacterial SSU rRNA
Rfam family: Bacterial small subunit ribosomal RNA
Source: RNAcentral